This 929-nucleotide ribosomal RNA is filed under the name uncultured bacterium. Its description in RNAcentral is "bacterial SSU rRNA". It matches the Rfam family "Bacterial small subunit ribosomal RNA", at positions 8 to 916 of the family's 1533-position model. The record is from RNAcentral.
AGAGUUUGAUUAUGGCUCAGAACGAACGUUAGCGGCGCGCCUAACACAUGCAAGUCGAACGAGAAAGGGCUUCGGCCCCGGUACAGUGGCGCACGGGUGAGUAACACGUAGGUAACCUACCCUCGAGUGGUGGAUAACAUCCCGAAAGGGGUGCUAAUACAGCAUGAGACCACGGUUUCGAGAGGAACAGGGGUCAAAGCGGGCCACUUCAUGAAAGCUCGCGCUUGGGGAUGGGCCUGCGGGGCAUCAGCUAGUUGGUGGGGUAAUGGCCUACCAAGGCAUAGACGCCUAGCUGGUCUGAGAGGAUGAUCGGCCACACUGAAACUGAGACACGGUCCAGACUCCUACGGGAGGCAGCAGUGGGGAAUUUUGCGCAAUGGGCGAAAGCCUGACGCAGCGACGCCGCGUGAGUGAUGAAGGCCCUCGGGUUGUAAAGCUCUGUGGGGAGGGAAGAAUAAGAUAUGGUUAAUACCCAUGUCGAUGACGGUACCUCCUUAGCAAGCACCGGCUAACUCUGUGCCAGCAGCCGCGGUAAGACAGAGGGUGCGAACGUUGUUCGGAAUUACUGGGCGUAAAGCGCGUGUAGGCGGCUAUGCAAGUCGGAUGUGAAAGCCCUGGGCUUAACCUAGGAAGUGCACUCGAAACUGCAUAGCUCGAGUCCCGGAGAGGAUGGUGGAAUUCUGAGUGUAGAGGUGAAAUUCGUAGAUAUUCAGAGGAACACCGGUGGCGAAGGCGGCCAUCUGGACGGGUACUGACGCUGAGACGCGAAAGCGUGUGUAGCAAACAGGAUUAGAUACCCUGGUAGUCCACGCCGUAACGAUGGGUGCUAGUGUCGCGGGCUUUGACUCCUGCGGUGCCGUAGCUAACGCAUUAAGCACCCCGCCUGGGGGAGUACGGCCGCAAGGCUAAAACUCAAAUGAAAUUGACGG